This 197-nucleotide ribosomal RNA is filed under the name uncultured bacterium. Its description in RNAcentral is "partial 16S ribosomal RNA". It matches the Rfam family "Bacterial small subunit ribosomal RNA", at positions 328 to 539 of the family's 1533-position model. The record is from RNAcentral.
ACGCUCGACACCUACGGGGGCAGCAGUGGGGAAUAUUGCACAAUGGAGGAAACUCUGAUGCAGCGAUGCCGCGUGAGGGAAGAAGGUUUUCGGAUUGUAAACCUCUGUCUUUGGGGACGAUAAUGACGGUACCCAAGGAGGAAGCUCCGGCUAACUACGUGCCAGCAGCCACGGUAAUCUGAGCGGGCUGGCAAGGC